CGCGCAGGCGGUUGUUUAAGUCGGAUGUGAAAGCCCCGGGCUUAACCUGGGAACUGCAUUCGAUACUGGGCAACUAGAGUACGAGAGAGGGAGGUAGAAUUCCACGUGUAGCGGUGAAAUGCGUAGAUAUGUGGAGGAAUACCGGUGGCGAAGGCGGCCUCCUGGUUCGAUACUGACGCUGAGGUGCGAAAGCGUGGGGAGCAAACA
Molecule: ribosomal RNA, 207 nt
Filed under: uncultured bacterium
Lineage: Bacteria
Description: partial 16S ribosomal RNA
Rfam family: Bacterial small subunit ribosomal RNA
Source: RNAcentral